GAGAACGUAGCACAAUGGUAGUGCAACAGACUCCAAAUCUGGAGGUUGUAGGUUCGAGUCCUGCCGUUCUCC
RNAcentral lists this transfer RNA (72 nucleotides) under Bigelowiella natans CCMP2755. Its description in RNAcentral is "tRNA-Trp for anticodon CCA". It matches the Rfam family "tRNA". From Rfam's summary of the family: Transfer RNA (tRNA) molecules are approximately 80 nucleotides in length. Their secondary structure includes four short double-helical elements and three loops (D, anti-codon, and T loops). Further hydrogen bonds mediate the characteristic L-shaped molecular structure. tRNAs have two regions of fundamental functional importance: the anti-codon, which is responsible for specific mRNA codon recognition, and the 3' end, to which the tRNAs corresponding amino acid is attached (by aminoacyl-tRNA synthetases). tRNAs cope with the degeneracy of the genetic code in two manners: having more than one tRNA (with a specific anti-codon) for a particular amino acid; and 'wobble' base-pairing, i.e. permitting non-standard base-pairing at the 3rd anti-codon position. The record is from RNAcentral. Lineage: Eukaryota; Cercozoa; Chlorarachniophyceae.